CCUACGGGUGGCUGCAGUGGGGAAUAUUGCACAAUGGGGGAAACCCUGAUGCAGCGACGCCGCGUGAGUGAGGAAGGAUUUCGGUAUGGAAAGCUCUAUCAGCAGGGAAGAAAAUGACGGUACCUGACUAAGAAGCCGCGGCUAACUACGUGCCAGCAGCCGCGGUAAUACGUAGGGGGCAAGCGUUAUCCGGAUUUACUGGGUGUAAAGGGAGCGUAGACGGAUUAGCAAGUCUGAUGUGAAAACCCGGGGCUCAACUCCGGGAGUGCAUUGGAAACUGUCGAUCUAGAGUGUCGGAGAGGCAAGCGGAAUUCCUGGUGUAGCGGUGAAAUGCUUAGAUAUCGUACAGAACACCGAUUGCGAAGGCAGCUUACCGAACUAUAACUGACGUUGAGGCACGAAAGCGUGGGUAGCGAACAGGAUUAGAUACCCCGGUAGUC
This 440-nucleotide ribosomal RNA is filed under the name uncultured bacterium. Its description in RNAcentral is "partial 16S ribosomal RNA". It matches the Rfam family "Bacterial small subunit ribosomal RNA", at positions 338 to 795 of the family's 1533-position model. The record is from RNAcentral.